This 24-nucleotide transfer RNA is filed under the name Eleutherodactylus griphus (Trelawny Parish robber frog). RNAcentral's name for it is "partial tRNA-Phe". The record is from RNAcentral. Lineage: Eukaryota; Metazoa; Chordata; Amphibia; Anura; Eleutherodactylidae.
CAGGCCCCAAAAAGGCCUUUAAAA